This 354-nucleotide unclassified non-coding RNA is filed under the name soil metagenome. RNAcentral's name for it is "partial contains 5.8S ribosomal RNA, internal transcribed spacer 2, and large subunit ribosomal RNA". The stretch from base 1 to 119 matches the Rfam family "5.8S ribosomal RNA", at positions 35 to 154 of the family's 154-position model. The record is from RNAcentral.
GAUGAAGAACGCAGCGAAAUGCGAUAAGUAAUGUGAAUUGCAGAAUUCAGUGAAUCAUCGAAUCUUUGAACGCACAUUGCGCCCAUUGUAUUCUAGUGGGCAUGCCUGUUCGAGCGUCAUUAAGUCCACUUAAGCCCUGCUUAGUGUUGGGAGACUGCUCCAGCGGUGCUACCCUGUAGCUACCCUGCAGCUCCUCAAAGACAGCGGCGGAGUUGUGGUAUCCUCUGAGCUUAGUAACUUGUUCUAGCUUUCGAGUACACCACUUCCCCUGCCGUAAAACCCUUAAUUUUUAAUGGUUGACCUCGGAUCAGGUAGGAAUACCCGCUGAACUUAAGCAUAUCAAUAAGCGGAGGA